Molecule: ribosomal RNA, 634 nt
Filed under: uncultured Marinobacter sp.
Lineage: Bacteria; Pseudomonadati; Pseudomonadota; Gammaproteobacteria; Pseudomonadales; Marinobacteraceae
Description: bacterial SSU rRNA
Rfam family: Bacterial small subunit ribosomal RNA
Source: RNAcentral
UGCCUGGGGAGUACGGCCGCAAGGUUAAAACUCAAAUGAAUUGACGGGGGCCCGCACAAGCGGUGGAGCAUGUGGGUUAAUUCGACGCAACGCGAAGAACCUUACCUGGCCUUGACAUGCAGAGAACUUUCCAGAGAUGGAUUGGUGCCUUCGGGAACUCUGACACAGGUGCUGCAUGGCCGUCGUCAGCUCGUGUCGUGAGAUGUUGGGUUAAGUCCCGUAACGAGCGCAACCCCUAUCCCUAGUUGCUAGCAGUUCGGCUGAGAACUCUAGGGAGACUGCCAGUGACAAACCGGAGGAAGGUGGGGAUGACGUCAGGUCAUCAUGGCCCUUACGGCCAGGGCUACACACGUGCUACAAUGGUGCGCACAGAGGGCUGCAAACCCGCGAGGGGGAGCCAAUCUCACAAAACGCAUCGUAGUCCGGAUCGCAGUCUGCAACUCGACUGCGUGAAGUCGGAAUCGCUAGUAAUCGUGAAUCAGAAUGUCACGGUGAAUACGUUCCCGGGCCUUGUACACACCGCCCGUCACACCAUGGGAGUGGAUUGCACCAGAAGUGGUUAGUCUAACCUUCGGGAGGACGAUCACCACGGUGUGGUUCAUGACUGGGGUGAAGUCGUAACAAGGUAACCGUA